CCUACGGGGGGCAGCAGUGGGGAAUAUUGGACAAUGGGGGCAACCCUGAUCCAGCCAUGCCGCGUGUGUGAAGAAGGCCCUCGGGUUGUAAAGCACUUUCAGUGAGGAAGAACGCCUGGUGGUUAAUACCCAUCAGGAAAGACAUCACUCACAGAAGAAGCACCGGCUAACUCCGUGCCAGCAGCCGCGGUAAUACGGAGGGUGCGAGCGUUAAUCGGAAUUACUGGGCGUAAAGCGCGCGUAGGUGGCUUGAUAAGCCGGUUGUGAAAGCCCCGGGCUCAACCUGGGAACGGCAUCCGGAACUGGCAAGCUAGAGUGCAGGAGAGGAAGGUAGAAUUCCCGGUGUAGCGGUGAAAUGCGUAGAGAUCGGGAGGAAUACCAGUGGCGAAGGCGGCCUUCUGGACUGACACUGACACUGAGGUGCGAAAGCGUGGGUAGCAAACAGGAUUAGAUACCCUUGUAGUC
RNAcentral lists this ribosomal RNA (465 nucleotides) under Vreelandella stevensii. RNAcentral's name for it is "partial 16S ribosomal RNA". It matches the Rfam family "Bacterial small subunit ribosomal RNA", at positions 338 to 795 of the family's 1533-position model. The record is from RNAcentral. Lineage: Bacteria; Pseudomonadati; Pseudomonadota; Gammaproteobacteria; Oceanospirillales; Halomonadaceae.